CGGUGCUCCGGAGUCCGGGAUGCAACAGGGACUCGGGGGGGGGCUUCGUCCUUUUAUAGGAGAGCGGUCACGCGCUUCCCCUCUCAGACCCCCUCCUGCUCCCCCGCCCCAGCCAUUCCAGCCGCCGCCGCCGCCGCUGCCCUUGAGCUCUUUUGCCGGUCCACACGCGUCCCACCAUCACGCACGGAUGGGCGGACCGCGCUGUACGGCGCAUGCGUGAGAGCCUCCAAUUCGCCCGGCUCUGCCGGCGGCCGAUUGGGUUCGAUCGACCCGGCCGAUAAAUUGUCUAUCAGGGCGCUCUACCCUUUUCUCUCUCUCUAUGGUACCACGGAAAAGGCGGUGGCNGGCAAGCGCUGGCUUCCGUCGAGCGGCUUCCCAGGAGGCCUGGUAUCCUCGGCAACCAGGAAUACUUCCGGAAAGGAGGGGCUGGCAGCUGUUUCAGUCCAGCUGCUGCUGAGAAAACGCGACACCGCCUUUCUCAUUCGCAGCCUCUUAAAGAGCCAGGCUGGGCACAAGCGUUCGGCGCCUUUUCUCUUACGACUGUGGCCGCUUCCUUCGCGCUUCAGUCGCCCUAGUCGGGCAGCCGGAAGGGGCAAGCUGAGAAAGCCACCGGGCGCAAGGCCCGCGCGCCUCAUUCUGGUGUGUGUGUGUGUGGGGGGGUGCUGUCCACGCGCUAGUGCGGCCUGCGGCAGCCUCGACCCCCACCACGCUCCGUCCGCCUUAGGUGAAGCGUGGAGCAGGCGGGGCCGCCCUGAACGGCCCCCGAUCUCAACAAGCAGGGCCCGUACCGGUACUCUGGGCCGCACAAAGGCAUGUGGACGAUACUCCUCGGGAACCUUCUCCGGGGCGUUCCAAGCGGCGCCGCCAGAAGCGAGGCUGCCUGAAAACCAGGAUGAAAAGCUUAUGCUAGAUGAAAACCAGGGCCAGGCUGGCAGCGACGGAGCAACGGCUCUUCGGAGGCAGCGGCUGCGGAGGGCAGAAAGGCCCGAAGAAAACUUGUCCAGACGCCAGAUUUGGGUACUGGAGCUAUGGACUUCAGUAGAACUUUCUGGGCAGUUAGUGUUUUCUGUGUGCAACACAAGCACAUUGCCAGCUCCAGGUGUUUCCUUAUUCUCCAGAGCCCAAGGCCGUCGUUCCCAAUGA
Molecule: long non-coding RNA, 1143 nt
Filed under: Salvator merianae (Argentine black and white tegu)
Lineage: Eukaryota; Metazoa; Chordata; Lepidosauria; Squamata; Teiidae
Description: lncRNA (ENSSMRG00000000440.1)
Source: RNAcentral